AAUACCGUAUAAGCCCUUCGGGGGAAAGAUUUAUCGGGAAAGGAUUGGCCCGCGUUAGAUUAGAUAGUUGGUGGGGUAAUGGCCUACCAAGUCUACGAUCUAUAGCUGGUUUUAGAGGAUGAUCAGCAACACUGGGACUGAGACACGGCCCAGACUCCUACGGGAGGCAGCAGUGGGGAAUCUUAGACAAUGGGCGCAAGCCUGAUCUAGCCAUGCCGCGUGUGUGAUGAAGGUCUUAGGAUCGUAAAGCACUUUCGCCAGGGAUGAUAAUGACAGUACCUGGUAAAGAAACCCCGGCUAACUCCGUGCCAGCAGCCGCGGUAAUACGGAGGGGGUUAGCGUUGUUCGGAAUUACUGGGCGUAAAGCGUACGUAGGCGGAUUGGAAAGUUGGGGGUGAAAUCCCAGGGCUCAACCCUGGAACUGCCUCCAAAACUAUCAGUCUAGAGUUCGAGAGAGGUGAGUGGAAUUCCAAGUGUAGAGGUGAAAUUCGUAGAUAUUUGGAGGAACACCAGUGGCGAAGGCGGCUCACUGGCUCGAUACUGACGCUGAGGUACGAAAGUGUGGGG
This 567-nucleotide ribosomal RNA is filed under the name uncultured bacterium. RNAcentral describes it as "bacterial SSU rRNA". It matches the Rfam family "Bacterial small subunit ribosomal RNA", at positions 165 to 766 of the family's 1533-position model. The record is from RNAcentral.